AGUCAUUGCUCCAGUGUGGAAUCAGUGCUGGAGUUACGACGUCCUGAUCCGGAGGCUGUGCUGUUGGGGCUUGGAUUUGGACCUCCUUCUUCAGGACAACAUGUUUCACGGAUUCCUAGUCGAUUUCUACAACCAUCCAAGAUUGACAUAAACAAAUUCCUCGAGGAACAAGGCGAAGGCGAGCAAGCAGAAUUCACCUCCAACCCAACAUCACCCGCCCGAGUGAAACCAACGCUGAACUGACGUAUUUUCCUACCAAGAGUCAAAAGACAUAUUUUUGUAACAUAUCUACCACACCAACUUAAUCACCAUCGUACUUAUUAUACUUUAGUCGCGCAGAGUGAGCACUAGAGAGCAAUUAGCGGGUUGCCCGCGCACAACAAAACGGUACCAAGGCAAGACUUUGACCAACACUUACUAAAUCAAUGUCUAUUCCAUUUUCCUGUGAUUCAAUGUGUGAUAUUUAAAUGUCUAUUAUAUUACACCUGAUAUAGGCUCACCAAGAGGCCAAUACUUAUCAAAAAAACUUAAUGGUGCUUUAAAUAUCAACAUUAUUAUGUAUAUCAAGACUUAACUCUAGUGUCCAAGAUGUAAUUUUAAUAAUUAAACAAGUCGUAAUCGAAA
Molecule: long non-coding RNA, 624 nt
Organism: Dalotia coriaria
Lineage: Eukaryota; Metazoa; Arthropoda; Insecta; Coleoptera; Staphylinidae
Exons: 2
Source: RefSeq, a predicted model, not a curated record